This 6401-nucleotide long non-coding RNA is filed under the name Heterocephalus glaber (naked mole-rat). RNAcentral's name for it is "lncRNA (ENSHGLG00100038785.1)". Lineage: Eukaryota; Metazoa; Chordata; Mammalia; Rodentia; Bathyergidae. The record is from RNAcentral.
GGAAAGAGUAGAGCAGAGGUUCUUUUGCCCAUCAAGGAAGCAGGAGCAGCCCGAGCAGCCUGGAGUGCAAGAGACCGCGCGUGAGUGUGAGUGUGAGCCUGGUGUGAGCCUGGGAAGCUGCACCUCCCGCAGCUGCAACAGGGAUUUGGUCUUUAUGUUGGGUACCAUGGGAAGCCAUUGGAGUGGUUUAACUUGUAAAAGGGCCACCAUGGAGGAAGGGGAAGUGAUCAGACUAGUUUUCAAAGAUCCUAGAGGUGGUAUGGUAAACAGGUUGGGUGGAUAGGGUUGGAAUGGAAUCGGGAUCGUUGAUUUUUCAGUGAUUCUCAGGACAAAAAGUAAUGAUUGGAACUGGGUGAUCGUGAUCCGAUAGAGAGAGAUCUAGAAUGGAGAAAAAUGAGAGAAUUAGCAGAUGUUAUGAUGGAUGGAACAUGGGGAGAGAUACUAAGGACAACUCGUGGGUAUGUAAAUUGUGUAACAGGGUCACAAUGGUCCUUCUUUGAGUGAUCACAGGAUGCGGAAGGCAGCAGAGAUUCUGGAGAGAUUUUCUCGUGGAGUGUAAGGCAGAGGUGGGACCAUAGCUACAGGGAAGUACAGGGUCUAGGGAAGGUGUCUGUUUUGUCUUUGAGCCUGGAGACACCAGAGCACAUAAACGCCGCCCUCGGGCUGAGGAGAGGUUGAAUGUAGUGGGGAGCUGGGGUCCUGGGAACAGAAGGCUGAGGAAGAGGCACAGCUGGGAGGAGAGAAGGAGCUGAAACCGGCACUGGGCAGAAAGGCUGCCUUCAGAUAGGAGGGGGGAGGGAAGGGAGAACAGGACCAGGAGGGUGGGUCUUAAGAUGGAGAAGAAGCGGGUAGCAGGCCCUGACAGUGCCGUCCCGUACAGAAGGUGCUAGAUCUUCCUUGUCUUUCUACCCUGCACAGCAUCAGUAGCCAGAUCUGACUGUGAGAAACUGACCAGUGUUUCCCAGAGUAACUGUCCUUAUUCCUUCUCAUCUUUCGCGUAAAUCUGUAUUCCUAGGAGAAAUUAAGCGUUUAUGGUAGAAUAAUGUAUUCUCAUUUAAUUUCAAAUCUACAUCUAGAAGUUUUGUUUGCUUCAAGAAAGACAAAAGCUACAAACUUGGGUGGGCUUAAUUUAAUCUUAUUGGCAGGCAGUACGCGUCUCCGUGGGGGGGGGUAUGGGUGUUUGUGAGAAUCGCAUCUUCUACAUUCACACGCGGCUUCCUAAGUGUGCAUUUUAUACAUUUUUGGUAGGUACUUGUUUACUGCAGCGGGGCGAUGCUGAGGGCAGGGUGGAGGUCACAAGGAUCCCUUAAUCCUCACCUUGGUGAAGAAUUACGUUUUAGUGCCAAGCUGUUCGGGAAAGUCCUUCUCCGUUUCCCACUGUCUGGGUGGCAUGAUCCGGAGUCAGCAGUCAAUGGACUCCAUCCCUCCGAGACUUGCUUAACCUGCAGCCGCCGAGGCACGAGGCACGAGGCACGAGCGCGUUACUUUCUGGCUGCCGCCGCUCCCUUAACAAGCGCCACGGUGAGGCAGAGGGGCGAGCCUGAAGGAACGUGUGUGCCGUGGAGCUGAGUGUCUCGGUGCACGAGGGAGAGGGAGGGCGAGAUCCACUUACAUCACUAGGACUGCAGCGAGUGAGCGAGCCGCGCAGGUUAGGAGACACACUACAGUGUCUUGCUUCUGCAGAAGCAGCGAUGCCGUUUGCUUCCUAGGAGGAAUUUUUUUGUUUAGAAAAGGAAGCUCUCUCCCCAGGAAAUGGCUUUCCUUGUGCGUUGCUAUGCCAACUGCCUGCAGCCAUGGUCCUCCAAAACUGGGCCUUGCCGUCUACCAUGUGUAGCCUGGGCGCAGCACCUGCUCCUUCAUUAUGAAACCUCUGGCGGCCCCCGCUCGCCAUGGAGUCCUGGGCCAGCAGGAGAGAUGCUCAGAGGACUGACGCUGAGAAACGGCGCUACUGGUGUUCAUGAUUCGAAACCAGAGCCUGGCGGUGCAGCCCGGCUUGAUGCCCAAGGAGUUUGUGCAGCGUCUCUUGAGCGGACUCGGGUGGGAACCGGGAGAGCAGGAAUUGACAGUGGGUGGGGACAGGCCCGCUGCUGAGCAGGGGGGCUCCCGGACUGGCCUCAGGGGCUCGUCGGCGACAGAGGCACAGCAUCUUCCUUAAGGCCACAGGCACGAAACAUCCCCGCUUCCGUAUGCCUGACCCCGCCGGGCAGCUGCGCAGCUGUGGAGCUGAAACCCCACGGAGCAGCGGCCGGGAGAAGCGCUUUUCUGGGUUGAAGCCGGUCGCCGCCUCCUGUCUCAGGAACCCACCGUGCUGCGAGUUUUCUCCAUCACACGCACUCGCGACCCUGACACAGGCAGGGCAGCCUGAGGGGCAGCGCAGUCUAAGAGCUUGGGCGCCUAGCACUGCAGUCUGGGCCUUCGAAGGGCCGACCUAGCCACCCAGCACCGAGUCGGUGAUGACUUUCGGGCAGCGCUUGUCUCUGUUCUCCGAAGUCGCGAUGUUAAAUUUUGAGAAAGGGGAAGAGUCGCUGAGGCUCUGGAAACUUGUCAGUGGUAGGCCUCCGAUGUGGACUGGUUCCUGAGAGUGAUAUGAUAUUAACUUGACAUCAGAGACUUUCUGUGGUGAUGUGGCCUGAGGCAGCCCUGCCCUGGUGUGCUGUGGGUAGUGCCUGGGCCUGGCCCUCUGGCCAAUUACCCUUCUCAGGCAGCUCCACAUCAGGACCCGCUCUCUCCUCCAUUCCCCAGGAGGAAAGGCAGUGCUGAGGGAGUUCCAGAGUGCUUUGAUUUUAUUAGCUGGGCCUUUGAAAUCAAACUUUGUGGGCAGGAGUUUUUCGAGGUAAAAGCAAGAGUGUUAGUGGAACUAUCCUCGAAGAACCUUAGAAACAGUUUAAACCGAAGGCCCCUUACCGUUUUCAUAGAUCUUUUCUCAAAGUGGGUGGAGGAGGAUAUUUAAAGUACCAAUAAUGUAAGUUUAAUGAACAGAGGCAGUUACUGAAACUUUGCUGGCAGAGGGAGGAACAGUGUUACUAGUCUGGGGAAGACAGGACAGCUGGACCCAAGUCCCUGCAUGGCGCGCAGAGCGCCUGAGCUCACGCUUCAUACACAUGUCCAUCUUCUGAGGAGCGCUCUGCGGCUCAGGUGUGGAAGGGUGCGCUCCGAGAAGACUGGGGACAUUGGCUGUGAAGUGGCUUGGGAUCAGGCCGUUCAUAGAAAACACAAGUGGCCUUUCCUGAGCCAUGUUACAGAUGGCAGCCAGGAGUCCCCAGGGCAUCUGGCUGUGGACCUGGCGGCCACUGAUGCCAAGGCCUUGUCCACUGACCUCCCAAGCUUCCUUACUGGACAGGCUGAGUGAGGAAAUGGCCUGGCUCCACGUAAUCGCUGGCUCGGGCCACACUUGAGCAGAAAUGGAUGUCACUUCCUGAGAAAAAUCUGCGGAUUUCCAAAUGAGCCAAAUUACUAAAUUCACAAGUAAUUUUGUUUUUGAUUCUUCAAAAUAUUUGUGGGUUUUUUUAAAGUGGCUUUUCUUCGGUACAGAACAGACAAAAGUAUUGAAUUGAGGGCUUUUUUUUGCUGCCAUUUGCACAUGUAGUAAACUCAGUCACUAUGUUUUGUUGGAAUUGUUCAGGUCUCGAGGGCUUUUUUGUCUCAGUGGUAUCUCAGCUGCUGGCACAUAAUAGGCAUACAGUGAACACAGUUGACCUUCUCAUUGAGUCGUAUUUCGGAUUAAUGAAGUCACAUUUGGCCCAAGCAUAAACCCUUGAAGCUGGCGGCCUGUAUGUACUUUGUCCGCUACCCUGCCUUUUUCAGUGUGGUCAGCGCAUAGCACCGUCAUGGGAAUCACCAGAACUGAACCCAGCCCUCGGCUGUGCUGUUACAGGUGUACUGUGCUUUUCAGUUAGCACCAGAGGGAUCCUGCGACUUUGUACGUAUGGAAAUAUAAAGAUCUUGUGAGAUUUGGAAAUAAAGCAGAUUAUUAACAUUUCAGAAAUGAUUUAUAAAACUGAAUGUUUGAAGACUACAGUGGAGCAGUAGUUGUAUAGAUUGUAAACUGAUGUUAUAUUAAAGUCUUAUAAACCUCCCAAGUUGAGGAAAAUGUUGAGAUAGCAUUAAAAGUCUCUUUACUCAAUUUAUCAACAUUUUAGUUUUGUACCAUAGAGCCUUCCCCUCCCAAUUUUGCCCACCUUCGAUGCCUCUGAAAAUCCUACAAAUUUGGGAUGCCUUUGAAACUUUGUAAAUUUUUAAAACAGGUCACUUUAAGUGAAUUUGAUGGUAUCAAACUGAGAAUUUGUUCUCCAGCUUUACAUCAUUUUUAUGGAAAUCACUGAUCAUGUGAUAUGCCUUACCCCUGAGUCAGACCUGUCAUGGCUCAGGUGGUAAGAGAGGAAUGUUACACAGAAGGAAGUGGCUGGCUAAAUUUCAGUGGUUAGGAUUUAGUGUGUGUGUAUUGAAUAGUAGGCACUGUAUUAUACAUUAUCUGACUUAGUUCCUUACACAAACCUCUCAAGAUAUAUUAUAAUCUUUUUUAGAGAUGAAAACUUGUUUUUCCAGAGACUGAUGAGUGGCAGAGCCAUUGGUUGGCCCCUGAGUUUGUCUGGUCAUUCUUUUUUUUUUUUUUAGUACUGGGGAUCGAACUCGGGUCCUUGCGCUUGCGCAGCAGGGUGUCUGGUCAUUCUUAAUGUGGGCCAGUUUAGUCCAAUUUGGUAUGGAAUCAUGGCAGCUGGCUUUAAACCAGUGGAAUAUGCAACUUGAAAACCAUGCUGACUUUUCCGUACCCCUCUUUCUGGGCAUGUGUGACAUGCCAGUCAGUGCUAAAGUAAAAGAGCAAUAAUGCCACGAUCAGAAUUACCUUACACAGCUUUCCCUUGCCUGCCCCAGGCAUGGACAGUGGUCCUUCAUCUUGACGAGCCGCAGUGAUGAGGGAAGGGUGCCCCUGAGUCCACUUCUUCCUCUCCAGCUUUUCUGUGUUCGGCCUCCACCAGCAGUCUUCUCCUUUUUGCUGCUGACUUUUUGAUACUGUCUGCUGCCACUGGUUUAAUCUGAAAUUGGAAUCUGUGGGUGCAGAGGACCAGUUAGCUCCUUCUCUUAGAGAUGGGGUCUCCCUAGCCUUGGACUCCUGGGCUGUCCUGCCUCCUCCUCCCAAGUGCCUGGGACUAAGGUGUGUCACCGUGCUUCGUUUACUGUUCAGCUCUCUAAAUGUAUGCUUCUGCCUCACCGUCCCCGGCCCGUUCCCUGUGAUGACAACUAUUGGGCCCACGCAGGUGCUGUGGCUCGCUUCCCCUAUGAGCCCUGGGUGUACACUGCAGCAGUGCUGACCCUAGGUGUUUGUCACCCUUUUUGGGUGGAGAUGCCCACUCGUCUGAUCUUUAUUUUGUCUGUUGUGACAGAUGUAUUUCCCGAGGUGGAAUAAACUUGCCUCUGGGGAGGGUUUCCACUUUGCCUGCUUGCAGAGAGGCCUGAGAGGAGGCAGUGUCCUAUUGUUUUAUUCAAGGACAAGGUCAUCUUGCUUUGGCUUUGGGCCAAGAAAUGCUGGCAAUAAAUAAUAGAUCUUUUAGUCCCAUGAGGAGGGAAGUAUAUUUAGAAAGUUGCCAAGGCAUUACCCAGACUGCUUAGGUGUAAGACUGAAGAAGCCCUACCUCCUCAGAGGAUACACUACAGCAAGAUCGUUGCUGUUAGCCAGAAGUAUGUGUUAGAUCCGUACUUGUCAAGUAUAGCUUUAAAGUGAUCUGUUUAAAAAGUGACCACCUAAAAAUAAAAUCAGUUAAGAUUAGUGAAAAAGACAAUGAUGGAAAGUUGUCAUUAGAAGCCCUUUAACUGCCAUAAGCUCACUGAUCCUAGUUUCUCUUCCAUUAUAAGUAUCGAUUUUACAUGGGAGAAGUAGUGGCAUGCAACCUGUACUGAAAUAAAAGCUGUGUGAGUGUGGUCUUGUGGGUAUAAAUUAGCCCUUCAUACACCCUGUGUUUCUUCGGCUGAUGUCCUUGAUUGUAGACCUGACCACACUCUUUUAACGGUUCUGUUCCAGUAGUCUGGUAAGAAGUUUUCCAGGGAGUAGGGUGUAGCUCAGCCAUUACUGAUGGAUUUUUUCUUUUUUGGAUUGUGGCUUAUGAGUUUCUUAGAAAAGAUUGAAAAAUAAAAUGAAUGGUUAUAUGCACAUUGGUAUACAUACAACUGUGAGUAUAUGUAUGUGUAAAAUAGAUAGUUGUGUAACAUUCUUAUCAUUAACUUCAUUGGUAAACUUUAGGUACACAUUAUGAUCCCAAUCAUCGUUGGAAUUUGUACCUGUACAUGGUAUAUCUUAGUUCUUGUUUUUUCCCAUUGCCCUUCCAACCUUCCAUCCCUCCCUAUUUACAAAAGCUUUGUUUCCAUUUUUUCCUCCUUUUUUCAUUUUUUUCUUUCCCUUCUCCCCC